AAGCUUCCAUAACCUCCUCUUC
Molecule: non-coding RNA, 22 nt
Filed under: Arabidopsis thaliana (thale cress)
Lineage: Eukaryota; Viridiplantae; Streptophyta; Magnoliopsida; Brassicales; Brassicaceae
Source: RNAcentral